Non-coding RNA from Salmo salar (Atlantic salmon), 8191 nucleotides. The record is from RefSeq and is a predicted model, not a curated record. Lineage: Eukaryota; Metazoa; Chordata; Actinopteri; Salmoniformes; Salmonidae.
AGCGGUUCACUGUCGCUGUAGGACCAGUUUACCUCAUUGUGCGUUGACAUCGCGUCGUCAGACACAGGCUAGACAUAAUAGAGCUUGAGUGCCUGAAUUUAAAUCAUUCUUGGCCGACUGUACAUGCAGAUUGCACUUAGUUUUGCAUGGUCAAGAAAUAGUUAUAAAGGUUGUAGAGACCAAAGUGCGCGGAAAAAAAUGGAGAGAGAAACGACAUCUUUGAAGCAGCAAUAUUGCUGCACAGCUGUUAUGAACGUUAUCUCGUCUUUAUUCUCUGUAGCGUCCCUUGCGUUUUGCAUAUUAUUAAGUGUACAAACAUCAGCGAUCACGGACAGGGUCCUGGAUUUGGAAACUGGACAUGGCGAGCAAAUCUUUCACAGGGUCCCCAGCUUUUCUGUGGAUCAGUUUAAUUCAUUGAUUCAAGAGAGAGUGGAUGAGCUCCUGUCACAGCGCUCCUAUGAAAAUUUAUCGAAGAUACGGGUUGCCCGACAAGUUAGCCAUACUCCUGAUUGCAACUGUCCCCCAGGCCCGCCAGGAAAGCGGGGAAGAAGAGGCCGGAAUGGCGAACCUGGACCUCCUGGUCCUCCUGGUCUACAGGGUGACAAGGGGGAUCAAGGCGACCAAGGACCGCGGAUGGUCUUCCCUAAGAUCAAUCAUGGCUUUCUUUCUGCUGACCAGCAGCUCAUAAAGCGGCGGCUUAUUAAGGGAGAUCAGGGUUCGGCAGGUCCACCAGGGCCUCCUGGACCCCCAGGUCCCCCUGGCCCCCGAGGGCCACCAGGGGACACAGGCAAGGAUGGGCCCCGGGGAGUGCAAGGUCUGCCGGGAGAUCCUGGGACCCCAGGAGAGCUAGGACUAAUGGGUCCCCUCGGGCCUCCUGGCAUCCCAGGUGUUGAUGGGCUGAAGGGUGAAAUGGGAGAGCGAGGUGAAAAGGGUGACAUGGGAGAAGAUGGGCAAAAAGGUGAAGUCGGGGAGAAGGGUGAUGCAGGCUCCUCUGCUGCAGGCAUUAAGGGUGAACCAGGAGAGUCAGGACGUGGGGGAUCAAAGGGAGAGCCAGGACUUCCAGGGCUGCCUGGACUUCCCGGGAUUAAGGGUGAGCCUGGAUUCCUAGGACCUCAGGGAGAACCGGGGCUCCCAGGACUACCAGGAACCAAGGGCGAGCGAGGGGAACUUGGCCCACCAGGCAAGGGAGAGCGGGGCGAGCCUGGACAGGCCGGUCAAAAGGGAGGGCCAGGAGAGGCAGGGAACCCAGGCCCUAGAGGUUCAAAGGGAGAGACAGGAGACAAGGGAGACCUGGGCUCUAUGGGACCAAGGGGACCCCCUGGGCAGAAAGGUGACCAAGGAGCCACUGAAAUCAUUGAUUACAACAGGAACAUCCAAGAAGCUUUACAGAAGAUUACCACUAUUACAGUGACGGGUCCCCCUGGGCCUCCUGGAUUAUCAGGACCAGAGGGAAUCAAGGGAGAUCAAGGCAUGCCUGGCCUCCCUGGACUGGACGGUGAAAGGGGUUUCAAAGGUUCCAAAGGAGACAUGGGAAUCCCUGGCACAUCUGGAGAUAAAGGAACUGUUGGCUUACCUGGUUUACCAGGCGUCAAUGGAUUGAAAGGAGAUAAGGGUGAUUCUGGUUUGCCUGGUCCUGAAGGGCCCUCAAUUAUUGGCCAACCUGGAGCACCUGGGCCCCAUGGCCCCCCAGGCCCCAUGGGACCCCAUGGCUUCCCUGGACCAAAGGGGGAGGCUGGGAAUCAUGGUCUGAAGGGAGUACGCGGGGAGUCAGGGCACAAGGGGGACAGAGGACCCCUGGGCCUCCCCGGAGCCUCCGGCUUGGACAGCAAGCCUGGAAUUAGGGGUAUGGACGGGCCUGUUGGUCCCUCCGGUCCAGCCGGGCCAAAGGGGGACAGAGGUGAGAGAGGAGCUGCAGGUGAACUUGGGCCAAGGGGACCUUAUGGACUUCCUGGAGCGGCUGGAACACCUGGCCUUGAUGGGUUGCCAGGCUUAAGGGGAGAGAAAGGCGACCCGGGGGAAAGAGGAGAAAAGGGAUUCCGGGGCUUUAAGGGUGAAAAGGGAGAACCGGGGCAACCUGGUCUGGAUGGGCUGGAUGCCCCGUGCCAAUUGGUACAGUAUUCCUCUUUUCCUUUACCUCUCCCGUGCAUGCUACUGACUUUUGCCACUGACAAAUGGCCAAUGAGAAGCCACCGUUUUGCUUUCCUUACCCAUGCAUGGCUUUAGCAUGAGGAUUGGACCCACCCAGCCAUCCAUACCCCCACCAACUCCCACUCCAAAUUACAACCAGCUCACAUGCUAAAUCACCUCUAGGUGUUUCAGACAUUUAUUAUCUAUUUUAGUUCCUUAAAGGCUACCAAAACACACUUCUUCCUGACUAACUGUCUGACUGCUAGCAGCCCUUCUUAGCUACAUAUUAUCAGAUACAGACCUACUGUAAUCUGCAAUUGAAUGCCACUGUACGUAAAUGUAAAGCACACAAGCAGUGGAUCUGUUGAUAUUCUCCCUUGAUAUUCUCUAACUGAAUCCCCCUCCCCUACUUUCUCAAUAAGUGUACAGGGACGCUUUCCUAUAAAAAAACAUAAUUCCUUAAAUGGACUUCCCUUCCAAAUUCCUUUAACAUCCCUAGUUCCUAAACAUACUCUAACCAUGGCAAGCUAUAAUCUAAGUUCCUUCAGUUCUCUUCUUUAUUGAUGCGUUUCCAUGCAAUGGCAACAUGGACCUUACCACUCCUACCUUCAAACCCCUCUACCCCUUCUGUAUUUGUACCAAUUGGGCACACCAUGACCAAGGAGAGAAGAUGUGAAAUCAGUUAUAUCCCCAGACCUUUCCAAUGCCAACUCAAAUUUGUAAUUCUUGUUUGGUGUCGGGGAGAAGUGUUGUUAUCUUGUGUGAUUUCUGAGAUGCCGUUAACGGAUGUUGUGUAAUGUAUGGAACUGAUGAUUGCUUUUGUGCCAAGGGUCCUUUUUGAGUGAGUAUAUUAAGCUAGUUUAGAUGUAUGUUACUGUAUAGUGGUAUGCAUCCACAUAUUAUUCUUAUCACAGAACAAAUUACACUUUAUGAGUAUUGAUAUGUUUGCUCUAUGUUUGCAAUUUCACAUAUCUUUAGGAGUAUAGACCCUACACAAUGGCACAUGGAUUAAUCAUAAUUUUGGAUUAUUUGAUAAAAUGUACUAAAUAUAAACCUAAGGGAGGACCAUAUAUCAUUGCAUGAUGAGAUAAAUGUCACUGUAUGUAACCAGCAUGAGUGAGAAUUCAUUGAAAUGUGUUAAAAUAUUAUCAAAUGUGAGCAUGCCAUUACAUUUUCCCAUUACAUUUUGGUUGAAGACUAGACAAUUAAACAUGAAACAUCUAAAUUACACAAGUAAUUCAAUAAAACAUAAGUGAUAUGUUAAAUUUACUGGCAGGUCUUUUAAGUGAUUAUAUUGAUUAAUGUACCAUUCUCAACAAAAUAAAAUGUAAUAUUAUCAUGUCUGUCAAUGUCUGUGAAGUAGUGUACUGUAUUUCCUCUCUCCCUUGAAUGCCCUGUGUCUGUCAAUCAAAUAUCUUCCAUCGCUUGGUUAUAUGUCUUAUGCCGAUUGCAUUCCAUCACAGACAUGAUCAUAUUUUUGGGAAGCCAGUCUUGAAAUAACAACACUGUUUUUGUUUUUGGGGCUUGUGCUGGAGAUAUGUCGGUACACUUCUUCACAGACCUUGUACCACAUAAUCUGAGACUUAGAGGCACAACAUCAAAUGAACAUUUGUGAACUGAUAUCAGUUCUGAGCAAAAAAAGCAUGUUUGUUUCUGUCACCAUUUUGUGACACUAACUAGUCAUUUCUUCCCUUUCUUCUCCCCUUACUAGGGCCCAGACGGACUACCAAUGCCUGGUUGUUGGCAAAAGUGAUCAAUCUAACCCGAAAAGCAUGGUUUGUAAAAAUAAAAUAAAAAUGUUGUUAUUUAUAAUUAUUUUUAAUGGAAAAUAUAAAAUAAAGAAAUCUAUGUGUACAACGAAAAAGAGCAAAGGUCCAUCACUCCUAACUGCUUCUACUCACCUCGCUCUGUGUCACUCUCACAUCCGCAUCUUGGAGUCCAGAUCUUUCGCAAUCGGCAGAACUUGCACACACACAAUGAUGUUUAGUCCCAGUCCUUGCAUGACCAGAGUGCUCGGGCACAGAAUGGAACGUCAUGGCUAAUUCGGAUUCAAGGGGAGUAAGGAGGUUGUGACAACAGAGGAUGAGGAAAAGGAGGCGUUGGAGGGAUCUGAACUGGCUCUUAACAGCUCUAGCUCUCGCGUUCACCAUCCAUUAAUGCCAUACUACUAGCUUAAAAGACUCCAUCCCAACAAAACACCCUCCACACCCCCAAAAAGCAUGAGGACUGUCCCAAACUAUAUUUAUAUGUAUUAAUAUACAUAUUUCAUUGUUGUGUGGUCGAAUUGUAUGGCUUCAGCAAAACACUAUCUGGCUGUCAAUCUUACUUACUCAAAAAAGAAAGCUCAACAUUUUUGGUUUUAACAUUUUUGGUUCCUUUUUCUUUUAAUGUUCCAAAGGGAGUCACGCCUUGGCUGGUGGCUUGAAAAGAAUUGUUCCCCAGGAAGUAAAGUUGGGUUGAUUUUCUUUAUUGUGGUGAGAUCUGCAAUGGGUCAAUAGAUGCAGGUCUUCACAGUUGCACUUGUCUUGAGUCCCAGGGCCCAUUCCCUGUCAACGGCCACUUGUUAUUGGACUCGGAGAAGAGUGUUAGAGCUCAAUGCACUGUGCACAGCCAAUCGGAAAUGAGCUAGGCUGACAAGGACUUUGGAUUGAACAGACCUGAUUGGGAUCCCUUCUAGUAGGGGAGACAGUGGGCCUCGGCAGAGCGAUUACAAUCGUCUCUCCUGCCAAUCAAGGAGUGCCUGCCUGUAACAAUGUUACAGUCACAACACUACAAGGUCAAGAGGGUCAAUGGAAUUCUGCCUUUUUAGUUGAAGUUUGUUCUUCUACUUACUUAAAAAAAAUGUUUUAUGUAUAAUAGCCUUUGGUGCCUCAAGCUUUUGUUCAUUCCUUUCUUUUUUAACCUGCUUUGAGUAAUUGGAAUGGUGUUUAUUGCGGAAUGGCAACCUCUUGUAAAUUGUUGAAGUAUAAAAGCACCUAUUUUGCGCACUGUUAGUAUGUAUUGAACGUUGAUAUUACUGGGUGUUAAUAAUAUGGCAUGUACAUUAUGUAUUCAAAUUAACAUAAGCUUCUGUGUAACAGAAAGGGAAUUUCAGUUGGUAGCAAAGAUGAUUACACAGCAUCAGCUUUUUCACUGAUUUGCAAACACCAAGUUUUAUAAUAUUAUAAUAACACUUGUUCAUUGCUGGCCAUUAAGUGGAAAAUACAGUCGGUGAGUUACAAUGUGCUUCACUGCAAGUUUAAUGUAUCUUUACAUUUAAAUGCAGUGUUUAUUUUCAGUAAUAUGUCUGCAACAAUAAGAUUUUUGAACAUUAUGAUUUGGUAAUUCAGUAUGGUACAUUUGCACGUAAAAAUGCCUUUCGGAAAAAUGUAUCAUUUUUUACUAGAAAAUUAUUGUUUUUUCCAAAUGUCAAACGGCAGUUUGCCUCAACUGGAUCAUGUCUACGCCACUUGCAGCAUUCUUCCUUUUUUCUCUCUCUCUCUCUAUAUAUUUUUUUUUUACAAAAUGUAAAUGGUGUAUUACAUGGACAGGCUCAAUAGGUAACACAUUUAAUUUCAGUUGAAUGGCCCUGCUUCCAUUUGUAACCCAUAAUUGUAUUCAUUGCCAUUUACAUCACAUUCCAUAGCAAUUUGGAAAGAAAAUUGAGCCUGUUUCUUAAUUUCAUAAUGUCAAGGAUGUCCUAAUUCUAACAAUGCCCUUAUGCACAAUGAUAUUUGAUGCAUAAUGCUAUUUGGAACAGUUAUUGUAAGAUUAGUAAUCAAUUAGUACAAUAUGUGCCGGUUUCCCAGACACAGAUUAAGCCUACUCCUGGACUAAAAAGCAUUUUUGAUGGAGAAUCUCUAUUGAGCAUACUUUUUAGUCCAGGACUAGGCUUAAAUCUGUGUCCGGGAAACUGACCCUCUAGCCCCAUUUAUACCUGGUUCUAACUUGCAUCCUUUGUCCUGAUCUUGUCCACAUUCUGAUUGUGCCCACAUUUUUUAACAGGUGUAGACAAUCAAAAGACACAUUGUGAUCCAAUUGUGAUCAGAUCAUCCUGCCAACCUCUGGAGGCGUUGUGUCUGGAUAUCUUACAAGUGUAGACAGAUCUGUACAGAGAGACCAUUUAAAUUGUACAUUUUCCUCUAAAAUCAUUGACCGGUGGCACCAUUGACUGAUUACAUCAAUAUGUGUCUUACAAUAAAUAAAUACAUAUUAUUUUUAAAGAAUAACUGUGAAACAAUUUUCAUAAAGGAAGGGGCCAGGAAAUCUGGUCACAAUGCAGACACAGUGGAUGGAUAACAGACACAUUUUAAUACAAUGUGUAGACACAUUUCUGGAAAUGUGGUCACAAUCAGAAUAAAUACAAGAUCAGGACAAAGGACCCAUGUUAGCACAAUGUAUAAACGGGGCUUAUAUGUAAUACCGGCACAUGUCCACUCUAUAAAAGUGUUAUUUUUGUUGUUUUUGUGACAAGUUUGACCACUCCACCCCAACUGUACAGGGUUAUCAGCUAUAUCACAAAGUAAAUAGUAUGCGUGUGAACAGUAGGUCAUCUGUUACAGUGUGGUGUCAUUAUGGUGCUAUCAUCUUGUUAGAAAAAUCUCUAAAGAGUAUUACCUAUCCAUGACAACCAUAAGACAACAGAGGUUUCUUUAUCAUUUUUCAUGUAACAGUUUAAAACAUUUUGUGCAUAUACAUUUUAUAUUUGUCUCACUAUUUUAAGUGUUACAUUAUUUAUUUUUGUAUUUUUCUUAAAGAAGGCAUUUUGGUUAUUAACAGGCAUUCCUUAUAAAAUGGGGGUAGCUUUUGAAGGUCUUGAUACCGUUUUUUUCAGCUUUUGUCUAUCAUAGUGGUGCAUUGUCAUUGAGAUGUCACACAAGUACAUUAGAUGUGAAGGAAGUUUGUUGUCAUUAUCAUCAAAUUGAUGUAUUGGUCAGGUAUUUACAAUGCUAGUUCACUCCCAAUUUUGCAGGCCUUACCUUGGCAUGCAAUUGUAUUCAUAAAACAAGAAAGUGUUGAUGGGCUUGGCUAAAAUAUUGUCUGUCCCUGACAAGCAGCAUAAAUAUGAUAAUAUUGUUCUUUCUUUUUUCUCUCUUUGCAUUGAAUGUAGUUUGAAUGUAAUAUGUAUAGUGAAUUAUAAAUGUGGAGUUUAAUAUCUGCUUAUUUGACAAAAGUGCAAUUUAUACUUUGGUUGAUAUGUGCAGCAUCAGAAUGCAGAUUAAUAACAGUUACAGACAUUUAUUAUCAGGACAAUAUGUUAGUCAAUUUGUUCCCCAUGAAAAGUACCACUACACUGGCUUAGAAAAAAUACAAAUGUUUUGAUUGACAAGUUACAUUUUUAGUUACAAACUUGUAAAUAUAGACUUUCUUGUUAUCCAUAUUUUAAGGCUUGAUUUGAAUUGAUUUAUUGUAGCCUCAAUUGCUGUCCACAAAUCAUUUGCUCUUAAGUUGUUAGUGGUGUGAUAGAAAACACAUAAUUUGUCUAUGAUUUGGUCUGUCUUUUAUUUAGAACCUUCGUAAGAUUUUGUACUACGAUGGCGCUGUGUCUUCAGUUAACGUGCAGCUGAUUCUUCUUUGUAUCUUUGUUCAAUUAUAUAUUAUGAAGUUACACACUUACAUUUAAAGGCUGGUAGUGGGUGGUCCCCACAUAGUUGAUACACACUUCUUUAACCCACCAAGUACCAGUUUUUUAUUUGGUGGCAAAUAUACCAGAGCCCUUUUUUCUGACAUAUAUAUACUAACAUUUCUUUUAACAUCCUCCUUACACUAUAGCCUAUUUCCCUCAGUGCAGUAAUGCAACCUAAUAGAAGCUGGAAAAGUAAAGAUAUAACUUCAAUUGAACAUAGUUGUCUAAGUAUUCUAAAAUGUAAAUGCAAUAGCUAAGUCCAUCUCACAGCUUUUGAAUAACUUACAUUUAAUUUCUGUUAUGUUUUUUUUCUAUUCUGCAUUUGUAUCACUCAUUUUUUACAAGUUUGCAAAUGAAUACAAUUUGCUAUCAGAUUAUGGAUACUUCUGCACACAUAAUUUCAAAACCAUUUCAUAUGACUGUACUGUUGGAGCCAAAUAAAUGCAGUCUUUCAAAUAA